Molecule: ribosomal RNA, 1143 nt
Filed under: uncultured bacterium
Lineage: Bacteria
Description: bacterial SSU rRNA
Rfam family: Bacterial small subunit ribosomal RNA
Source: RNAcentral
ARAUGAGCCUGCGUGAGAUUAGCUAGUUGGUAGGGUAAAGGCCUACCAAGGCGACGAUCUCUAACUGGUCUGAGAGGAUGACCAGUCACACUGGGACUGAGACACGGCCCARACUCCUACGGGAGGCAGCAGUGGGGAAUAUUGGACAAUGGGCGCAAGCCUGAUCCAGCCAUGCCGCGUGUGUGAAGAAGGCCUUAGGGUUGUAAAGCACUUUCAGGGGUGAGGAAGGGUAAUGGAUUAAUACUUCAUUACUUUGACGUUAGCCCCAGAAGAAGCACCGGCUAACUCUGUGCCAGCAGCCGCGGUAAUACAGAGGGUGCAAGCGUUAAUCGGAAUUACUGGGCGUAAAGCGCGCGUAGGUGGUUUGUUAAGUCGGAUGUGAAAUCCCAGGGCUCAACCUUGGAAUGGCACCCGAUACUGGCUAGCUAGAGUAUGGUAGAGGGGUGUGGAAUUUCCUGUGUAGCGGUGAAAUGCGUAGAUAUAGGAAGGAACAUCAGUGGCGAAGGCGACACCCUGGACUAAUACUGACACUGAGGUGCGAAAGCGUGGGGACCNAACAGGAUUAGAUACCCUGGUAGUCCACGCCGUAAACGAUGUCUACUAGCCGUUGGGNUUGUAAUGACUUAGUGGCGCAGCUAACGCAAUAAGUAGACCGCCUGGGGAGUACGGCCGCAAGGUUAAAACUCAAAUGAAUUGACGGGGGCCCGCACAAGCGGUGGAGCAUGUGGUUUAAUUCGAAGCAACGCGAAGAACCUUACCUACUCUUGACAUCCACAGAACAUUUGAGAGAUCAGAUGGUGCCUUCGGGAACUGUGAGACAGGUGCUGCAUGGCUGUCGUCAGCUCGUGUUGUGAAAUGUUGGGUUAAGUCCCGUAACGAGCGCAACCCUUGUCCUUAUUUGCCAGCACGUAAUGGUGGGAACUUUAAGGAGACUGCCGGUGACAAACCGGAGGAAGGUGGGGACGACGUCAAGUCAUCAUGGCCCUUACGAGUAGGGCUACACACGUGCUACAAUGGCGUAUACAGAGGGCUGCAAGCUAGCGAUAGUGAGCGAAUCCCACAAAGUACGUCGUAGUCCGGAUUGGAGUCUGCAACUCGACUCCAUGAAGUCGGAAUCGCUAGUAAUCGUGAAUCAGAAUGUCA